Molecule: long non-coding RNA, 264 nt
Organism: Neogale vison (American mink)
Lineage: Eukaryota; Metazoa; Chordata; Mammalia; Carnivora; Mustelidae
Exons: 3
Source: RefSeq, a predicted model, not a curated record
GAGUCGGGGUGGCCGUCAAGGAGGCCUCUCAGAGAAGCUGGCCUUUGAGCAAAGGCUGCAGGGUCCGGAGAGUCAAGGAGCCUCCCCGGGGACUUCGCCCAUUGACAAGCCCUUGACACAUGCGGGAUGACCUUCCUCCCGGAACCCAGCGGCAUCACUGUGAACACUUUGCAAAGGGCAAAGACAACCUUAGCUUGACCUUAGCCUGACCUCCAGGAUCCUGAACCUGAUCAUUUUCCCCUCAGAGGAUGGUUUCCUGCUUCU